CCUACGGGAGGCAGCAGUGAGGAAUAUUGGUCAAUGGGCGCGAGCCUGAACCAGCCAAGUAGCGUGAAGGAUGACGGCCCUAUGGGUUGUAAACUUCUGUUAUAAAGGAGUAAAACGAGGCACGUGUGACUUUUUGCAUGUACUUUAUGAAUAAGGAUCGGCUAACUCCGUGCCAGCAGCCGCGGUAAUACGGAGGAUCCGAGCGUUAUCCGGAUUUAUUGGGUUUAAAGGGAGCGUAGAUGGGUUGUUAAGUCAGUUGUGAAAGUUUGCGGCUCAACCGUCAAAUUGCCUUGGAUACUGGCAGUCUUGAGUACACUUGAGGUAGGCGGAAUUCGUGUUGUUGCGG
This 346-nucleotide ribosomal RNA is filed under the name uncultured bacterium. RNAcentral describes it as "partial 16S ribosomal RNA". It matches the Rfam family "Bacterial small subunit ribosomal RNA", at positions 338 to 681 of the family's 1533-position model. The record is from RNAcentral.